CGAAUGCUGACAUAAGUAACGAUAAAGCGGGUGAAAAGCCCGCUCGCCGGAAGACCAAGGGUUCCUGUCCAACGUUAAUCGGGGCAGGGUGAGUCGACCCCUAAGGCGAGGCCGAAAGGCGUAGUCGAUGGGAAACAGGUUAAUAUUCCUGUACUUGGUGUUACUGCGAAGGGGGGACGGAGAAGGCUAUGUUGGCCGGGCGACGGUUGUCCCGGUUUAAGCGUGUAGGCUGGUUUUCCAGGCAAAUCCGGAAAAUCAAGGCUGAGGCGUGAUGACGAGGCACUACGGUGCUGAAGCAACAAAUGCCCUGCUUCCAGGAAAAGCCUCUAAGCAUCAGGUAACAUCAAAUCGUACCCCAAACCGACACAGGUGGUCAGGUAGAGAAUACCAAGGCGCUUGAGAGAACUCGGGUGAAGGAACUAGGCAAAAUGGUGCCGUAACUUCGGGAGAAGGCACGCUGAUAUGUAGGUGAAGUCCCUUGCGGAUGGAGCUGAAAUCAGUCGAAGAUACCAGCUGGCUGCAACUGUUUAUUAAAAACACAGCACUGUGCAAACACGAAAGUGGACGUAUACGGUGUGACGCCUGCCCGGUGCCGGAAGGUUAAUUGAUGGGGUCAGCGCAAGCGAAGCUCUUGAUCGAAGCCCCGGUAAACGGCGGCCGUAACUAUAACGGUCCUAAGGUAGCGAAAUUCCUUGUCGGGUAAGUUCCGACCUGCACGAAUGGCGUAAUGAUGGCCAGGCUGUCUCCACCCGAGACUCAGUGAAAUUGAACUCGCUGUGAAGAUGCAGUGUACCCGCGGCAAGACGGAAAGACCCCGUGAACCUUUACUAUAGCUUGACACUGAACAUUGAGCCUUGAUGUGUAGGAUAGGUGGGAGGCUUAGAAGUGUGGACGCCAGUCUGCAUGGAGCCGACCUUGAAAUACCACCCUUUAAUGUUUGAUGUUCUAACGUUGACCCGUAAUCCGGGUUGCGGACAGUGUCUGGUGGGUAGUUUGACUGGGGCGGUCUCCUCCUAAAGAGUAACGGAGGAGCACGAAGGUUGGCUAAUCCUGGUCGGACAUCAGGAGGUUAGUGCAAUGGCAUAAGCCAGCUUGACUGCGAGCGUGACGGCGCGAGCAGGUGCGAAAGCAGGUCAUAGUGAUCCGGUGGUUCUGAAUGGAAGGGCCAUCGCUCAACGGAUAAAAGGUACUCCGGGGAUAACAGGCUGAUACCGCCCAAGAGUUCAUAUCGACGGCGGUGUUUGGCACCUCGAUGUCGGCUCAUCACAUCCUGGGGCUGAAGUAGGUCCCAAGGGUAUGGCUGUUCGCCAUUUAAAGUGGUACGCGAGCUGGGUUUAGAACGUCGUGAGACAGUUCGGUCCCUAUCUGCCGUGGGCGCUGGAGAACUGAGGGGGGCUGCUCCUAGUACGAGAGGACCGGAGUGGACGCAUCACUGGUGUUCGGGUUGUCAUGCCAAUGGCACUGCCCGGUAGCUAAAUGCGGAAGAGAUAAGUGCUGAAAGCAUCUAAGCACGAAACUUGCCCCGAGAUGAGUUCUCCCUGACUCCUUGAGAGUCCUGAAGGAACGUUGAAGACGACGACGUU
This 1583-nucleotide ribosomal RNA is filed under the name Escherichia coli. RNAcentral describes it as "partial 23S ribosomal RNA". It matches the Rfam family "Bacterial large subunit ribosomal RNA", at positions 1291 to 2854 of the family's 2925-position model. Lineage: Bacteria; Pseudomonadati; Pseudomonadota; Gammaproteobacteria; Enterobacterales; Enterobacteriaceae. The record is from RNAcentral.